UCCCUCUCUCUGCUGAUGAAAAGCAGCCCAGCCCUGAGCCUGCAGCUCUGGGAGAGGAGCCCCAGCCUGGGAUUCCCAGGUGUUGCCAUUCGGUGAUCAGCACUGAAAACACAGGACCCACCAUGGAAUUCAGGCUGAGCUGGGUUUUCCUUGUUGCUAUUUUAAAAGGUGUCCAGGGUGAGGUGCAGCUGGUGGAGUCUGGGGGCGGCUUGGCAAAGCCUGGGGGGUCCCUGAGACUCUCCUGUGUAGGCUCUGGAUUCACCUUCAGUAACUAUGGCAUGAGCUGGGUCCGCCAGGCUCCAGGGAAGGGGCUGGAGUGGGUCUCAGCUAUUAAUAGUGGUGGGGGUAGCACAUGGUACGCAGACUCCGUGAAGGGCAGAUUCACCAUCUCCAGAGAGAACGCCAAGAACACGCUGUAUCUUCAAAUGGACAGCCUGAAAGCCGAGGACACGGCUGUGUAUUACUGUGCGAGAGACACAGCGAGGGGAAGUCGGUGUCCUGAGCGCCCCUUGCUGGUGCUGAUCGUCCCCUGGUGUCUGAGCACCCCCUGGUGUCUGAUCCCCUAUGCCUGUCCUCAGCGCCCCCUGGUGGUGUCUGAGCCUCGCUGGUGGUGUCCUGAGCUCCCAUUAGUUUCUGAGCUUUCCUGGCACUUUGCCUUCUGGGAGAGGACAGUGGAGGUCUACAGCCCUCCACAGUGUACUAGAGCCGACUAG
This is a non-coding RNA of Piliocolobus tephrosceles (Ugandan red Colobus), 713 nucleotides long. The record is from the annotation of a RefSeq genome assembly. NCBI's taxonomy places the organism in Eukaryota, Metazoa, Chordata, Mammalia, Primates, Cercopithecidae.